RNAcentral lists this small RNA (161 nucleotides) under Yersinia enterocolitica subsp. enterocolitica 8081. RNAcentral's name for it is "RtT RNA (RF00391) as predicted by Rfam". The stretch from base 34 to 161 matches the Rfam family "RtT RNA". Rfam says of the family: This family represents a bacterial cis-regulatory element known as RtT RNA. The exact function of RtT is unknown although it is thought that it may be involved in changing the cellular response in relation to amino acid starvation. The record is from RNAcentral. Lineage: Bacteria; Pseudomonadati; Pseudomonadota; Gammaproteobacteria; Enterobacterales; Yersiniaceae.
CACCAUCUCCUCAGUAAAUAACUAAAUCAAAAAAUAGCACCCAUCAGGGGAAGGUAAGAACCUUCGACCAAGGUUCGCGCCGAGCAUAGCGAGACAACGACGCGCAGCGGCGGCCCGAAGGGCGAGGAACAACGUGACGAGUAAUCCUUCCCCCACCACCU